GACGAACGUUGGCGGCGUGCUUAACACAUGCAAGUCGAACGGAAAGGCCCUGCUUUUGUGGGGUGCUCGAGUGGCGAACGGGUGAGUAACACGUGAGUAACCUGCCCUUGACUUUGGGAUAACUUCAGGAAACUGGGGCUAAUACCGGAUAGGAGCUCCUGCUGCAUGGUGGGGGUUGGAAAGUUUCGGCGGUUGGGGAUGGACUCGCGGCUUAUCAGCUUGUUGGUGGGGUAGUGGCUUACCAAGGCUUUGACGGGUAGCCGGCCUGAGAGGGUGACCGGCCACAUUGGGACUGAGAUACGGCCCAGACUCCUACGGGAGGCAGCAGUGGGGAAUAUUGCACAAUGGGCGGAAGCCUGAUGCAGCAACGCCGCGUGCGGGAUGACGGCCUUCGGGUUGUAAACCGCUUUCGCCUGUGACGAAGCGUGAGUGACGGUAAUGGGUAAAGAAGCACCGGCUAACUACGUGCCAGCAGCCGCGGUGAUACGUAGGGUGCGAGCGUUGUCCGGAUUUAUUGGGCGUAAAGGGCUCGUAGGUGGUUGAUCGCGUCGGAAGUGUAAUCUUGGGGCUUAACCCUGAGCGUGCUUUCGAUACGGGUUGACUUGAGGAAGGUAGGGGAGAAUGGAAUUCCUGGUGGAGCGGUGGAAUGCGCAGAUAUCAGGAGGAACACCAGUGGCGAAGGCGGUUCUCUGGGCCUUUCCUGACGCUGAGGAGCGAAAGCGUGGGGAGCGAACAGGCUUAGAUACCCUGGUAGUCCACGCUGUAAACGGUGGGUACUAGGUGUGGGGUCCAUUCCACGGGUUCCGUGCCGUAGCUAACGCUUUAAGUACCCCGCCUGGGGAGUACGGCCGCAAGGCUAAAACACAAAGGAAUUGACGGGGCCCCGCACAAGCGGCGGAGCAUGCGGAUUAAUUCGAUGCAACGCGUAGAACCUUACCUGGGUUUGACAUGGAUCGGGAGUGCUCAGAGAUGGGUGUGCCUCUUUUGGGGUCGGUUCACAGGUGGUGCAUGCCUGUCGUCAGCUCGUGUCGUGAGAUGUUGGGUUAAGUCCCGCAACGAGCGCAACCCUUGUUCACUGUUGCCAGCACGUUAUGGUGGGGACUCAGUGGAGACCGCCGGGGUCAACUCGGAGGAAGGUGGGGAUGACGUCAAGUCCUCAUGCCCCUUAUGUCCAGGGCUUCACGCAUGCUACAAUGGCUGGUACAGAGAGUGGCGAGCCUGUGAGGGUGAGCGAAUCUCGGAAAGCCGGUCUCAGUUCGGAUUGGGGUCUGCAACUCGACCUCAUGAAGUCGGAGUCGCUAGUAAUCGCAGAUCAGCAACGCUGCGGUGAAUACGUUCCCGGG
RNAcentral lists this ribosomal RNA (1343 nucleotides) under uncultured bacterium. RNAcentral describes it as "16S ribosomal RNA". It matches the Rfam family "Bacterial small subunit ribosomal RNA", at positions 28 to 1378 of the family's 1533-position model. The record is from RNAcentral.